RNAcentral lists this transfer RNA (74 nucleotides) under Stegodyphus dumicola. Its description in RNAcentral is "tRNA-Val". It matches the Rfam family "tRNA". From Rfam's summary of the family: Transfer RNA (tRNA) molecules are approximately 80 nucleotides in length. Their secondary structure includes four short double-helical elements and three loops (D, anti-codon, and T loops). Further hydrogen bonds mediate the characteristic L-shaped molecular structure. tRNAs have two regions of fundamental functional importance: the anti-codon, which is responsible for specific mRNA codon recognition, and the 3' end, to which the tRNAs corresponding amino acid is attached (by aminoacyl-tRNA synthetases). tRNAs cope with the degeneracy of the genetic code in two manners: having more than one tRNA (with a specific anti-codon) for a particular amino acid; and 'wobble' base-pairing, i.e. permitting non-standard base-pairing at the 3rd anti-codon position. The record is from RNAcentral. Lineage: Eukaryota; Metazoa; Arthropoda; Arachnida; Araneae; Eresidae.
GGUUCCGUGGUGUAGUGGUUAUCACGUCUGCUUUACGCGCAGAAGGUCCCCCGGUUCGAUCCCGGGCGGAACCA